AGUGUUGUCACAUGAAAAGAUAUAAUAAAAUAUUUACAAAUAUUUUAGGGGUGUACUCACUUUUCAAAUACUGUACAUAUAGUUAAUACAAUGUUAAACAAAAAUCUGCAUACCAGUCAAGCCAUAAGAUAUGCUUUUCCCACAGAAAUCACAAAUUUGCAGUGAUGUUACUUCCACAAAGGAUUCUGGGUGGGCAUAUGCAAAUUAGUUUAACAAAGAAUCACAUUUUUGUCUCAUAUCAUUUUAAACAUGGAUUUCUUCAAAUCUGUGUUUGCUGUAUACAACAGCUUUGAAACCCAACUUAGGGAAAGAUACAAAGCCAGUGAACCACUCAUGGACAGCUGUUUUAUUGUUAAUGCAAAUCAUGAGCAUGAGGUUGCUUACUGGUUUGCUAUUGGGGCUUGGUAGUGGUUGGGAAGCAAAAACCAAAAAGGUUAUGGUGGGGGGGGGGAAAUUGUGGUUGAAAAACCCUCCCACCUAAAGUCUGUGGCUAGUUAAUACAAUGUUAAAGGAACACUCCAAUCACCAUAAUCACUUAAGCAACCUGAUCACUCCAGGAGUGACCUGGCACCCUCCCACAUUGUAAAUACUCAAACCAUUUUAGAAACACUCUCUGCAUCCACUACUUAAGUCAAAGAGACAGAAUAUUUUGUCUGUUCUAAGUAGGUGGCACAUGGUGCACUGCAAUGCUUAGCUUAGGAGAGCUAAUAGAAAAUCCUACUUAGAAGAUUGUGGCUUUCCAUCAUCAGUAGUAGAGGCAGGGCCGGUGCAAGGAUUUUGCCGCCCUAGGCAAAAAAAAAUGUGCUGCCCCGCCAUAUGUGCUACCCACCAUGUGACAUCACAAUGCCCCGCCCAUAUGCUUUUACCUGAAAAGGUAGUGUGUUUACAUUAAAAAGCCUGAAGGCACAGGCUACAGACACCAGAACCACUACAUUAAGCUGUAGUGUUUCUGGUGACUAUAGUGGCCCUUUAAUGUUAGGUAAAUUAGAGAUUAGUGCCACUAAUAAUAUAUUGGAUUGCCUACUUACCACCAAAUGAGGACAAGAGGAUGAUGAUGGGCUCAGGCUGUAGUUUGGCUCCACAGGUCUGUUGUAGAAGAGGCUCUCUAGAGACUGUUUGUAACAGUGCUCACAACAAUUAAUGAACAUGAGACAGCUCCAUUUUUUGGGGCCCCUUACACAGCUCAAGGUCUGACCGGGGCCUGACCGUGAGUAUGCCUACAAGGCCUACCCAUGAUUCCACCUACAUGGAGUGGAGUGUAUGUGUGUAGGGGAUGUGUUAUGUGUUAUUGUAGAGGAUGUAAUGUGUAUGUGUUCUUAUGGAAUGUAGUGUGUAGGGAUACCAAUUUGUGUAAGGGAUGAAGUGUGUGUAUAGUGAGUGAGUGUUUGUGUGUAAGGAAUGCAUUUUGUGCCCCCUACCUAUGUAGCGUGGCCGGGCGGCGUGGAUCACAGUACAGGAACUGAGUGAGCCGAGUGUCAGUCCGCCGGCGGCCGGGUACAGGAAAAAUAACUUCCUGUCCCGAGGUCCGUUUAAGACGUUUUGCCUACUUGCAUUGGAGGAAACAUUGCAUUACUAAAGCCACUGCAGGGGCUAUGGUGCUUGAAGUGUUCCUUUGAAGAAAGUCAAAUUUAUUUAGAUAAACACAUGAAAACAUCUGUUAACUGGAUUUUUGUUGGAAACUUCCAUCCAGCCUACGGUACCUAUUCACAACCUACACAAAUGCUUUGAUCACAGCAGCAGCUCUGUCAUAGAGCUGGUCAUGGUCGUGACUCACCAUCUAUAGGAGAAAU
This is a non-coding RNA of Pelobates cultripes (western spadefoot toad), 1790 nucleotides long. The record is from the annotation of a GenBank genome assembly. NCBI's taxonomy places the organism in Eukaryota, Metazoa, Chordata, Amphibia, Anura, Pelobatidae.